Molecule: long non-coding RNA, 2737 nt
Filed under: Parus major (Great Tit)
Lineage: Eukaryota; Metazoa; Chordata; Aves; Passeriformes; Paridae
Description: lncRNA (ENSPMJG00000006511.1)
Source: RNAcentral
AGGGAACAAAGAGCCCCGAGGUGUGACAAGGCCUCUCAAUGCUCUUUGACUGCUCCAAGCAGGAGACAAAUCCCAUGGGAUCAAUGAUUAACACAGGCCUGACAUCCCCCAAAGCACGGGGGACCCCUCCCCCCUUCCCUUCCCUCCCCAGUCCAGGCUGGAGGGGAACUGGUGGCAAUGACUCAGGUGGGUGCCUGAGGCUGAUUUUCCCUGCGGGGUUUUCCCACUCACCGUCUCAUCGUCAGGGAUGGGGAUCUUGCUGUCGAAGUAGGUGGUGAACGGCUCCCCCUCGUCGCUGUCGGGGGGCUGCAGGGGGCUCCUGCUGCUGGAGAUGGUGCUGACCACCCCCCCGAGACCCCCAGGCUCCCCAGACACAUCCUCUGCAGGGAGAGAGGGAACGGGGGCAGUCAGCAUUCCUGGAGAGGCAGAAACGCUGCCAGGGGCUGCUGAGCCCCACAGGCACAGCCAGCCAGCACAGCCGAUGCUAAUUAAGUGAUAAAGAGGUGAUUAAAUUAAAAUAUCCCACACUGCUGCACCCCUUGGAGCCUGUUGUGUCCCCAGAAUCUCCUCUCCCACCCGGCUCCAGGCGGGAGCCAGGGAUUUAUUUAUUUAUUCCAAUUAAUUUUAAAAAUCCCCAUCCCAGGGCUGAUGAGGACCAGUGUCCCCAAAAUGAUUAACUGGGCUGGCUCAGCCAGGUCCCAGGGAAAUCUGGGACUGCUCCUGCACCAUUAUCCCAUCCUCUCCUGGCUGGAUCCCGGGGAAAUCCAACACCUGGACACUCAGGAGAUGCCACACAACCCCACACCUCUCCCAGCACCCAGAGAGUUCCAGCAGCUCCCAAAUGUGAGCAGCGAGGAAAGAGUGCAGGGCCACCCCAGCACAUUCCCAGCCUCUCCUGCAGCCAAACCUGGAUCCCAACUCCCAGCCAAACCUGGAUCCCAACUGUCCUGCAGCAAAACCUGGAUCCCAACUCCCAGAAAAACCUGGAUCCCAACUCUCUCCUGCAGCCAAACCUGGAUCCCAACUCUCCUGCAGCAAAACCUGGAUCCCAACUCCCAGCAAAACCUGGAUCCCAACUCUCUCCUGGAGCCAAACCUGGAUCCCAACUCUUUCCCAGCCAAACCUGGAUCCCAACUCUCUCCAAUCAAAACCUGGAUCCCAACUCUCCUGCAGCCAAACCUGGAUCCCAACUCCCAGCCAAACCUGGAUCCCAACUCUCUCCUGCAGCCAAACCUGGAUCACAACUCCCAGAAAAACCUGGAUCCCAACUGUCCUGCAGCAAAACCUGGAUCCCAACUCCCCCCAGCCAAACCUGGAUCCCAACUCUCCCCAGAAAAACCUGGAUCCCAACUCUCCUGCAAGCCAAUCCUCCAUCCCAGCUCUCCCCAAGCCCGUACUCACUCCUGCUCUCCCCACAGGACAUUUCCUUCCCUCGGGACAUUUCCUUCCCUCGGGACAUUUCCUUCCCUCGGGACUUUUCCUUCCCUCGGGACUUUUCCUUCCCUCGGGAGCUGCAGCUCUGGGCUCAGGGGGCUCAGACAGGGCAGAUCUUUGCCCAACUUUCCUAUUGCAUCACCAGCGGGCUCCUCCCAUUCCCGGCCUCCCAGAACCCUGCCAGGACCUCGUUUACAUAAAGGAUUUGGAGCUGCCCAGGUGUGCGGAGAUCGCUGCUCAGGAGAUUUCUCCCAGGACAUUCCUGCCCGGGCCAGGCUGGUUUGGCUGGUUCAGGCAGGCUGAGUGACCCCGGGGUGCUGCAAACCUCAGCCUGGCACCCCGGGGCUCUUCCAGCAAGCCAAAGAAGGGAAUUAAUGAAAGGAAGGAGGGUGAUGAGGGCAGCCCCCCCUGCCCCCUUUCCUGAGCCAGUCUCACCGUAGGACGCCUUCCGCUCCGUGUCCAAGUUUCCCAUGGUGGAGCCCUUCCCCUGCUCUGGGAACUGCUUCAAACUGGACACAUUGGCUGUGAAAAAGGGAAAAAUCCGGUCAGGAUGGAAAACCAGGGCUGGCAGGAGAGGGGGAUAGAGACAAAGUCACUUCCCAGGCUCUAUUUCAGCUCUGAGGAACCUCACAGUGAUGGACUCAACGUCCUGAGCUCUUUUCCAGCUCUGAGGGUCUCAGCAGGGAUGGGAGAGGGAAUUUAGGCUGGGACCUGCUAAGAAAGUCCUGCUGCUCUGCCCAUGGGAGCCCUGAGGGGCACCAACGUGCCAGGAGUGUCCACAGGCAGCUGGGGCUGAUUGUGAAACUCCGGAGGAGGAAACACACGGGGAAUUCCCUCCAUGUGGAAACCUUCUCUCAUCCCCCCUUCCCAGCACCUCCAGCACUGCCAAAUCCUCCCCUGCGCCCCCCAAACCCCUCCAGCACUGCCAAAUCCUCCCCUGCGCCCCCCAAACCCCUCCAGCACUGCCAAAUCCUCCCCUGCGCCCCCCAAACCCCUCCAGCACUCCCCAAGGCCCUGCCAGCCCCCCAGGCAGGGGGAAGUGGGUUAAGGGCAGGUUUAACUCCUCUAUCACAGCCUGGGCUUAAAUUCAACCCAUGCAGGAUCUGGAAUGGGGCUGGGGAGGGAGCUGGGGACGAGGAGGGAGCUGGGGACGAGGAGGGAUUUGGCAUCCUCUGGGCUCCAGGAGCUCAACCCCCCUCCAAGGCCAAGCCAGUGUCCCUCAGUGAUGACUUCUGGCCUGUAAAGCACCGAAUCCUCUGUCAAAUUCCAUCAGAUUUGAGGGAGAUUACCAUAAAACACGGGA